Molecule: transfer RNA, 73 nt
Filed under: Ailuropoda melanoleuca (giant panda)
Lineage: Eukaryota; Metazoa; Chordata; Mammalia; Carnivora; Ursidae
Also listed under: 1 other name
Rfam family: tRNA
About the family: Transfer RNA (tRNA) molecules are approximately 80 nucleotides in length. Their secondary structure includes four short double-helical elements and three loops (D, anti-codon, and T loops).
Source: Rfam by way of RNAcentral
GCCUGGCUGGCUCAGUGGGUAGAGCAUGUGACUUUUGAUCUCAGGGUUGUGAGUUCGAGUCCCACGUUGGGGA